AGUGAACGCUGGCGGUAGGCCUAACACAUGCAAGUCGAACGGCAGCACAGUAAGAGCUUGCUCUUACGGGUGGCGAGUGGCGGACGGGUGAGGAAUACAUCGGAAUCUACUUUUUCGUGGGGGGUAAAGGUGGGGAAACUUACGCUAAUACCGAAUACGACCUACGGGUGAAGCCAGGGGAUCUUCGGACCUUGCGCGAUUGAUUGAGCCGAUGUCGGUUUAGCUAGUUGGCGGGGUAAAGGCCAACCAAGGCGACGAUCCGUAGCUGGUCUGAGAGGAUGAUCAGCCACACUGGAACUGAGACACGGUCCAGACUCCUACGGGAGGCAGCAGUGGGGAAUACUGGACAAUGGGCGCAAGCCUGAUCCAGCCAUACCGCGUGGGUGAAGAAGGCCUUCGGGUUGUAAAGCCCUUUUGUUGGGAAAGAAAAGCAGCAGGUUAAUACCCCGCUGUUCUGACGGUACCCAAAGAAUAAGCACCGGCUAACUUCGUG
This 493-nucleotide ribosomal RNA is filed under the name uncultured bacterium. Its description in RNAcentral is "partial 16S ribosomal RNA". It matches the Rfam family "Bacterial small subunit ribosomal RNA", at positions 29 to 507 of the family's 1533-position model. The record is from RNAcentral.